RNAcentral lists this ribosomal RNA (393 nucleotides) under uncultured bacterium. RNAcentral's name for it is "partial 16S ribosomal RNA". It matches the Rfam family "Bacterial small subunit ribosomal RNA", at positions 523 to 918 of the family's 1533-position model. The record is from RNAcentral.
AUACGGAGGACGCGAGCGUUAUCCGGAUUCAUUGGGUUUAAAGGGUGCGCAGGCGGCCGUGCAAGUCAGCGGUGAAAGCCCGGGGCUCAACCCCGGAAGUGCCGUUGAUACUGCAUGGCUGGAAUGCGGUCGAGGCGGGGGGAGAGUGGCGUGUAGCGGGGGAAUGCGUAGAUAUGCCACAGAACGCCGAUAGCGGAGGCAGCUCGCCAGGCCUGCAUUGACGCUCGGGCACGAAAGCGUGGGGAUCGAACAGGAUUAGAUACCCUGGUAGUCCACGCCGUAAACGAUGGGCGCUCGUCGUCGGCGGCAGACAGUCGGCGGCCAAGCGAAAGCGAUAAGCGCCCCACCUGGGGAGUACGGUCGCAAGGCUGAAACUCAAAUGAAUUGGCGGGG